RNAcentral lists this ribosomal RNA (441 nucleotides) under uncultured Cystobacterineae bacterium. RNAcentral describes it as "bacterial SSU rRNA". It matches the Rfam family "Bacterial small subunit ribosomal RNA", at positions 939 to 1382 of the family's 1533-position model. The record is from RNAcentral. Lineage: Bacteria; Pseudomonadati; Myxococcota; Myxococcia; Myxococcales.
AUGUGGUUUAAUUCGAUGAUACGCGAGGAACCUUACCUGGGCUCAAAUGUAUGUUGACGUAUUCUGAAAGGGAUACUUCUUCGGACAAUAUACAAGGUGCUGCAUGGUUGUCGUCAGCUCGUGCCGUGAGGUGUCGGGUUAAGUCCCAUAACGAGCGCAACCCCUAUCAUUAGUUGCCAUCAGGUCAAGCUGGGGACUCUAAUGAAACUGCCUACGCAAGUAGUGAGGAAGGUGGGGAUGACGUCAAGUCCUCAUGGCCUUUAUGACCAGGGCUACACACGUACUACAAUGGCCGAUACAAAGGGCAGCGACACUGCGAGGUGAAGCCAAUCCCGUAAAAUCGGUCUCAGUCCGGAUUGGAGUCUGCAACUCGACUCCAUGAAGUUGGAAUCGCUAGUAAUCGUGGAUCAGCAUGCCACGGUGAAUACGUUCCCGGGCCUU